GAUGAACGCUGGCGGCGUGCCUAAUACAUGCAAGUCGAGCGAACAGACGAGGAGCUUGCUCCUCUGACGUUAGCGGCGGACGGGUGAGUAACACGUGGAUAACCUACCUAUAAGACUGGGAUAACUUCGGGAAACCGGAGCUAAUACCGGAUAAUAUAUUGAACCGCAUGGUUCAAUAGUGAAAGACGGUUUUGCUGUCACUUAUAGAUGGAUCCGCGCCGCAUUAGCUAGUUGGUAAGGUAACGGCUUACCAAGGCAACGAUGCGUAGCCGACCUGAGAGGGUGAUCGGCCACACUGGAACUGAGACACGGUCCAGACUCCUACGGGAGGCAGCAGUAGGGAAUCUUCCGAAAGGGGCGAAAGCUUGACGGAGCAACGCCGCGUGAGUGAUGAAGGUCUUCGGAUCGUAAAACUCUGUUAUUAGGGAAGAACAAAUGUGUAAGUAACUAUGCACGUCUUGACGGUACCUAAUCAGAAAGCCACGGCUAACUACGUG
Molecule: ribosomal RNA, 497 nt
Filed under: uncultured bacterium
Lineage: Bacteria
Description: partial 16S ribosomal RNA
Rfam family: Bacterial small subunit ribosomal RNA
Source: RNAcentral